This 1533-nucleotide long non-coding RNA is filed under the name Equus caballus (horse). RNAcentral describes it as "lncRNA (ENSECAG00000049196.1)". The record is from RNAcentral. Lineage: Eukaryota; Metazoa; Chordata; Mammalia; Perissodactyla; Equidae.
CUAAGUGCUGAAGGAGUGUACCAACACAAAGCAAGCUGCAAAGAUCAAGAAAGUAUUUUCCUUUUUUGCCUCCAGGUGUUAAAGGAAAUCAGUCUCAAAUCAUUAGAUGACCACUAAACUAGUGAAACAGAAACUUCAGUGUUGAGACAUGAAAAAGAAUACAGUCUUUACAAAGACAGUUUAGAAAAUGCACUAAGCAAAAACUACAACCUACAACAUGCAGCAAGAACAAACCUUGGGAAAGGAGGAGAAUUUGAUUUUCAGAGUUAACACAUUCUGAUGUUGAAAAUGUCGUUUUCAACAAAAAUUAUGAGGGACAUAAGGAAAUAAGAAAAUACGGCCAUUCACGGGGGAAAAAAAGAGAAACUAUACCUCAGGAAGCCCAGAGAUUGGACUUACUAGAAAAAGACUUUACAUCAGCUAUUUAAAAUAUGUUCCGAGAGCUAAAGGAAACAAUGGCCAAAGAACUAAAGGAAACUAGAUGAAUAAUCUCACCAAACAGAGAAUAUCAAUAAAGAGCUAUACCAUAACAAUAACAACAACAAAAUGAUAAUUAUGUGAGGUAAAGAAUGUAUUAACUAACCUUAUUGUGGUAACAUUUCACAAUAUGUGUAUAUCAAAUCAUCAUGUUGUACACCUUUAACUUACACAAUGUUUUAUGUCAAUUAUAUCUUAAUAAAGCUGGAAAAAAUAAAACAUUAUUCUUGGGGAAAAAACCAAAGAGAUAGAUAUCAUAAAAAAGAACUAAAUAGAAAUUGUUGAGCUGAAAGAUACAGUAAGGGAAAAAAAAUUACUAAAGGGCUUCCAAAACAUAUUUGAGCAAGUAGAAGAAAAAUAGUGAACAUGAAGAUAAGUCAAUUACAGUUAUCCAGUUGGAAAACCUGAAAGAAAAAUCAAUGAAGAAAACAGAAACUAAGAGAACUGUGGGACACCAUCAAGCACACCAAUACACACAUAAUGAGAAUCCCAGCAGGAGAGGAGAGAGCGAAAAGGCAGAAAGAAUACAUCAUGAAAUAAUGGCCGAAAACUUCCCAAAUUUAGUGGAAGACAUCAAUCUAAAUGUCUAAGAAGCUUGUCAAACUCCAAGUAAAAUAAACACAAAGAGCUCCACAUACCAAGACAGACAGAGAAUCUUGAAAGGACCGAGAGAGAAGUGAUUUGUCAUGUACAGAGAUCCUCAGUAAGACUAAGAGCCGAUUUCUCAUUAGAAACCAAGAAGGUCAGAAAGCAGUGGGAUGAUGUAUUUAAAACAAAAAAGGACAUUAUGUAUUGAUAAAAGGGUCAAUUCAUCAAGAGAAUAUAAUAAUUAUAAACAUAUAUGCACCGAACCAUGAUGCCCCAACAUAGAUGAAGCAAAUAUUCAUAGAAUUGAAGGUGAAGGGGGAAAUAGACAGUUCUAUAAUAAUACCUGAAGAAUUCACUACUCUACUUUCAAUAAUGAAUAGAACAGCCAGAAAGAAGAUCAUGAAGGAAAUAGAGGGCCUGAGCAAUACCGUAAACCAACUAGAGUCACUUGUAUAGAACACUUCACGC